RNAcentral lists this long non-coding RNA (1881 nucleotides) under Salvia miltiorrhiza (redroot sage). RNAcentral describes it as "long non-coding RNA (SMIL_LNC007832)". The record is from RNAcentral. Lineage: Eukaryota; Viridiplantae; Streptophyta; Magnoliopsida; Lamiales; Lamiaceae.
UGUGUUUUGGUUUUAGACAGAAUUUUAUUCAUGCGUAGCUCGAUAAACGUGACAGCACUUAAUUUCAAAGCAGGGGCAAACCAGUAAUAUCAAGUAAAAAUGAAGAAGUAAAUAAAUAAAGAGUGAAGCUCAAUUACUACUCUCACAUCAGCUGAGAUGGAGAGGAAUGAGGGUUCGAGAGAGUUUCAAUUUGGGAAUUUCGGAUGGGUGGGUUGCCCCUCUCUUCAUACCCCAUGAUUUCUUCAAUUUAACAAACAACAACAACAACAACAACCACCCUUGAAAAAAACAAAGAAGGGGAAUUACAGCUAUAUAAUAUGAUCCAUUUCCUCCACGACAACGCUUACAUCUGCGCCUUGCUCGCUUCUCCUUUCCUUUUCCUCUACUUCCACUUUCGCCGAGGCUGUGACGAUUAUAUUUUGUAUUGAAUUUCCAUCUGAGCUGCUGAAUCGGGCACUGAGAAUGCGCGGCCCGUAUCUUGGCGGGGCGACCCGGACGGCGUGCGGUGCGCGCAUGCAACCGGUGCUUCUGCAGCCAUGGCGUGGUCGCUUCUCUUUUGCCUGCUUGUGUAAUUUCCAGAUCUGAGCCUCCCCUUUUUCAAACGAAGCGAUUUAAACAAAUUUCCAAAUAUUUGAGUUAUGAUUUAAGUAGUACUAUAAAUUUAAUUGGAUCAUCAGUUACUAUUAUUAUGUUGUGUUAAAUAGAAUUACUUAAAAAUAAUAUUGAAAAUAUACAUGCAGAAAUUUAAUAAAUUUAUAGAAUGCUAUAAAAUUUUGGUGAAGUAUUUUGCAUGAGAUACAUGUAAAUACUAUACUUCGGAGCUAAAAUUUUACUCCUUCCGUCCGCCAAAAGUGGACCAUUUUUACUAUAUUGGGCGUCCGCAAAGAGUGUACCACUUUCCUUUUAUAGAAAUGGUCCCACCAUCCACUUUAAUCUUUUAUCCUUACAAACACUCUUUAUUUACAAAAAAACCACCCCAAAUUCAAUUUUAACCACACAUAUCAUAAAGUGGUGGGACCCUUUUUCCACUACAUCAAAAUCAUUACCAAUUUUCUUAAAUCCCGUGCGUAGCCAAAGUGGUCCACUUUUGGCGGACGGAGAGAGUAGUAUUUUUCUGACAUAUGAAAAAUAGGAUAAAAAAUCACAAUUAGCUGAAAGCCCAAUAAAAUCAAACUGAGCAAAAAGCCCACCAUUCUAAAUACAAGUGAAUUUUUAUUAUUAAAAAAAAUUGAAAAAUGGAGUAGAGAACAAAUAAAAUGACCGCAAACCCUAACAUUGUAGCGGCGCUUCUUCUUCUUCUUCUUCUUUUCAUUGCAUCUGUUCCAUUCUAUUCUCCAUUUUCUGUGUGAAUACAAGAAAUUGGGGGAUAGUGACUCAGAAGAAAAGAAUGAGGGUUUACAGCGAGAAAUUGGGAAUUUCUUCAAGGGUGGUUGCCCCUCUCUGUUAACCCAAUGAUUUCUCUGGUGAAAAAAAAUCCCAACCGCCCUUGUAGAAGAAGAAUAUGGUGAUUAUAUUCAUAGCCCCCAUUUACUCGCUCACACUCACACAUACAAAGUGAACGCACCCUAUCAUCUCUCUCUCUCUCUCUCUCUCAAUCAUAUAUGGGCUGUGAUGAUGAUUUUGGAUUCUUCUGAGCUAGUGGAUCGGGCAAGGUGAGACCCAUAUCUUGGCGGGGCGACCCGGACGGCAUCUGUUCAUCAGAUGCAACCGCUGGUUUCGCAGCCAUGGCGGUGUUCAUCUGCCCGAUCUCCGCCACAACAGAUCUGAGCCUCAUUUAAAUAAAUCUUCUUCUUUUUUGAAUUUUUGAAUUUCUUCUAUUCUUCUUUAAUUCCUACAUUUCCUACAUUUGGAGAAUGAGUUUUUGUUUUGUCUCUUCACAGA